RNAcentral lists this ribosomal RNA (292 nucleotides) under uncultured Planctomycetota bacterium. RNAcentral describes it as "uncultured planctomycete partial 16S ribosomal RNA". Lineage: Bacteria; Pseudomonadati; Planctomycetota. The record is from RNAcentral.
GGACUACUCGGGUUUCUAAUCCCGUUCGCUCCCCUGGCUUUCGCGCCUCAGCGUCAGUAGAGAUCCAGCAGCCCGCUUUCGCCACCGGCGUUCCUUCCGAUAUCAACGCAUUUCACCGCUCCACCGGAAGUUCCGGCUGCCCCUACCUCCCUCGAGACCGCCCGUUUCCAAGGCACUUUUCCGGUUAAGCCGAAAGCUUUCACCCCGGACAAGGCGGUCCGCCUACGCGCCCUUUAAGCCCAGUGAUUCCGAACAACGUUUGCACGGUUCGUCUUACCGCGGCUGCUGGCAC